This 261-nucleotide unclassified non-coding RNA is filed under the name uncultured Penicillium. RNAcentral's name for it is "sequence contains ITS2". The stretch from base 1 to 52 matches the Rfam family "5.8S ribosomal RNA", at positions 103 to 154 of the family's 154-position model. The record is from RNAcentral. Lineage: Eukaryota; Fungi; Ascomycota; Eurotiomycetes; Eurotiales; Aspergillaceae.
AACGCACAUUGCGCCCCCUGGUAUUCCGGGGGGCAUGCCUGUCCGAGCGUCAUUGCUGCCCUCAAGCACGGCUUGUGUGUUGGGCUUCGCCCCCCGUUCUUCGGGGGGCGGGCCCGAAAGGCAGCGGCGGCACCGCGUCCGGUCCUCGAGCGUAUGGGGCUUUGUCACCCGCUCUGUAGGCCCGGCCGGCGCCCGCCGGCGACCCCAAAUCAAUCUAUCCAGGUUGACCUCGGAUCAGGUAGGGAUACCCGCUGAACUUAA